Brachypodium distachyon (stiff brome) is the source of this 766-nucleotide long non-coding RNA. RefSeq lists it as uncharacterized. The record is from RefSeq and is a predicted model, not a curated record. Lineage: Eukaryota; Viridiplantae; Streptophyta; Magnoliopsida; Poales; Poaceae. The transcript has 3 exons.
GGUUACGGUGGUUACCGACGAUGAAGAGGGCGGCGCGCCAGCCGCCGCGGCCGUCGGAUGGCUCUGGACGAGGAGGAAGUGGCCCUCCGGACUCCAUUGCUUUUCGCGCCUUCGCCUCCGGAGGUGGUUCCUGAUGGAUUAUUCAGUUUGGGCUGUGCCUACGCCAGAGUUUACAGAGAUCGCAGUUUGACUGCUCAUUUCGGAGGGUUUGGUAGUACUACACGCGGCUCGCGUGAUCCAGACGGGCCUGUCUAAAUCGUACUGCUCGAUGCAUUUGUGCCGCGAUGUUGCGCAUGGGGUCACCAGUCACCACGCGUGAUGGAGUUUAUGAGGAAGACAAUGGUUUCCAACCUCAUCCUAUCGCUGCUUCUCAUGCAUUCAGGCCUGGUGCCAUCUGUGCUUGGAGAUGUCUGCUGUCAAGAGACUGCUGACGACUUUCACUGCUGGUACCGACGACCAUUGUACCUCUGUCUCAAGACCGCCAAAUGCAGGGGCUAUUGUUUGGACACGGCUACGUCGACGCGCGAUGCAAUUGGACAUUUCCUUACAUAGGGCUCUGUGAAUGUAAGUUGCCGAAGUGCAAUCACGGGGCAGUGGCAGAGGCAGCAGGCAGUCCUUCGCAGGAUUGAUCCAAGAGUAGUGCGAGCCAUAGAGAAAUGUUUGUCAUUUCCAAGCUUGAUAUGCCCACGGUUCUAGCUGUUGCUGCUCUGAAAAUAAAAUAAAUAAAUAAGAAGAUUUACUAAAUUAAAAUAUACCGUAUUGUUCA